Non-coding RNA from Gossypium raimondii (Peruvian cotton), 135 nucleotides. The record is from Rfam. NCBI's taxonomy places the organism in Eukaryota, Viridiplantae, Streptophyta, Magnoliopsida, Malvales, Malvaceae.
UGUUAAAUUUUUUAUCUAUUUGUAUUGUUGAAAAUGGAUAUAGUUGACAGAAUAACUAGACAGUGACACAUGGCGUGCCACUUAUACCUCAUGCUGUCCAAUUUAUAACAAUAGAAAUAGAUGAAAUUUUUAAUA